GUCCCCUUGGUCCGCACGGGCGAGCUUUUUCUCUCCCAUUGUCGGCCAAGGUGAGUCUCCACCGUUCCUCCCUCGAUCUUGAGUGUUUCCUCUAGAUCUUUCAUGGUUUUAACAAGGUUUCAUCUUGCUUUGAAGUUUUUGAGCUUUUGAAUCGAGUUUUGAGCAAGUUUUGAGCUUGGAGGCCUAAGGAGCUAGAUUUCUCCCAAACUCCAAGUUAGAUCGCCUCUAUUCUCGAUCUUCAAGAGGUAAGAGUCGAUCUUGAACUCUUGUAAUGUUUUAAAUAAGUUUCAUGCAAGAUUCAUGGGAUUAAAGGCAUGUUUAGUUCAUGUGUAGGUUUAUGGGUUUAUGUUGUGAUUUUGAGCAAUGUAGCUUGAUUGUGUAUGAAUGAAGUGUUGUAGAUGGGGUAUAUGCAUGUUUGAGGCCCCUAGGAACGUGUAUGCAUGCUUUGGUUGAGAAAUAUGCAUGAUUUAUGGUUUUGGGAGGCAGGAGGUUCAUUUGAACCAAGUUUCUGCCGUUUGGCAGAAACCAGGUUCGGCAGCCGAAGGGAGUUUCGGCCGCCGAACCCCUCUUGUGGAGGCAGCUUUCGGCUGCCGAAGGUGCCCCCGAAAAGAGACUUUCGUCUCUGUCUGGCACUUUCGGCCGCCGAAGGUGCCGCCGAACCUAGCUGAGUUUCGUCUCUGUCCAGGACUUUCGGCCGCCGAAGGUGCCGCCGAAGGUGCCCUGUUCAGCCAUUUCAUGCAUAUUUUCUGUGAUGUUUUCAUGAUGUUUUAAGGGGUUUUUGGGGGAUAUAUUAGCGUUAUGUUUGUUUAUGUUUGGUCCCUCAUUGGAGUCCACCUGUGUAGGUUCGGACCCGAGGAACCGAGGACCCCAGCAGUGAGUGAGCUGCUUCAGUGUCUGGUCAGAGCUAGCCAGGGGUGAGUGGAAACAAGCUUAAUGUUUUAAAUCAAGCAAUUAAAUGUUUUGAGCAUGUUUCAUGCAUCAUGAUGACAUGUAAUAGGCAGAUUGCAUUAGUUCACGAAUAUGUCGCAUUGCAUUUUAUUUUGUGGUUGUGGGUGAAUGCUGUAUGAUCCAAUUAGUCCACGAGACUUAAUAUAUGAUAUGACAGGAAGACCAGGACCCCAUGCUACGGCCUGGCACGAGACUUAAUAUAUGAUAUGACAGGAAGACCAGGACCCCAUGCUACGGCCUGGCACGAGACUUAAUAUAUGAUAUGACAGGAAGACCAGGACCCCAUGCUACGGCCUGGCACGAGACUAUAUUGAGACUAAUUGGUGACAGAUUCACCCUUGAUGUGAAUUGUCUGUGAUAUGAUGCAUUUCAUGAAAGCAUGAACUUUGAUAUAAUGUUUUUUUUAGUUUCUGCUCACUGGGCUUUUAGCUCACCCCUCUCCCCUAACCCCCAGGUUUGCAGGUACGGGAUUGAUAGAGAAGAAAAGAAGAGAAAAGUCAUAUGUAUGUAAUAGCUAGAGUAUGUGGACAUGACAAAUGAUAAGAAUGUAAUGUAAAGUUUUGAACAGUUAUGUUUAUGUAA
This 1530-nucleotide long non-coding RNA is filed under the name Manihot esculenta (cassava). RNAcentral's name for it is "long non-coding RNA (MESC_LNC006894)". Lineage: Eukaryota; Viridiplantae; Streptophyta; Magnoliopsida; Malpighiales; Euphorbiaceae. The record is from RNAcentral.